This 420-nucleotide ribosomal RNA is filed under the name uncultured bacterium. RNAcentral describes it as "bacterial SSU rRNA". It matches the Rfam family "Bacterial small subunit ribosomal RNA", at positions 358 to 775 of the family's 1533-position model. The record is from RNAcentral.
GGAAUAUUGGUCAAUGGGCUUACGCCUGAACCAGCCAAGUCGCGUGAGGGAAGACUGCCCUAUGGGUUGUAAACCUCUUUUGUCAGGGAGCAAUUGGCGCUACGUGUAGCGUUAUCGAGAGUACCUGAAGAAAAAGCAUCGGCUACCUCCGUGCCAGCAGCCGCGGGAAUACGGAGGAUGCGAGCGUUAUCCGGAUUUAUUGGGUUUAAAGGGUGCGUAGGCGGAAUGCCAAGUCAGCGGUAAAAUCGCGGGGCUCAACCUCGCUCCGCCGUUGAAACUGGCGUUCUUGAGUGGGCGAGAAGUAUGCGGAAUGCGUGGUGUAGCGGUGAAAUGCAUAGAUAUCACGCAGAACUCCGAUUGCGAAGGCAGCAUACCGGCGCCCAACUGACGCUGAAGCACGAAAGCGUGGGUAUCGAACAG